UACGUAGGCAGCGAGCGUUGUUCGGAGUUACUGGGCGUAAAGCGUGCGUAGGCGGUGGUCCAAGUCUGGUGUGAAAUCUCCCGGCUUAACUGGGAGGGUGCGCCGGAAACUGGGCCGCUGGAGUGCGGGAGAGGGAAGCGGAAUUCCAGGUGUAGCGGUGAAAUGCGUAGAUAUCUGGAGGAACACCCGUGGUGCAGACGGCUUGCUGGACCGUGACUGACGCUGAGGCACGAAAGCGUGGGUAGCAAACAGG
Molecule: ribosomal RNA, 253 nt
Filed under: uncultured bacterium
Lineage: Bacteria
Description: partial 16S ribosomal RNA
Rfam family: Bacterial small subunit ribosomal RNA
Source: RNAcentral